GUUCUUUCUUAUUCUCAAUGAUCUCAAUAGCCGAAUUAGGGUUUGUUCUUCUGCCGCCUAAUUGCGUAAUUCAAUUAUCUCUAAGAUAAGAUGCGGUGACGAGAAAUCGAGAAAAUUCAUUUGAUUUACAUGAUUAUGUAUUUACUUUAUGGUUUUUCUGGAUCUUAUAUUGGCGAAGGUCCCAGCAGGGAGGUGAGAACUCUUGAUAAAUUGAGACCUCUCUAACACAAAUCAAACCCUUCGCAAAUUUAUUGCCGAAUAAACAGAUGCCCAGAUGCUUAUUAUUUGGAUCAUCUUCGAACCCUCGGCUACACUUUAAUGAACUUUUGUUCAAAUUUAGAAAAUGAAUUUUGUUCAAAUUUAGAAAAUGAAUUUUGUACUAUUGUUUUGUAAUAUCGUAAUCAAGAAAGGAGAGGGUGAGCCGUGAACGAGAAAUGAAUGGUUCAUUGCUGAAGAUAACUAAGGGCCGACGAGCUGUGAGGAGCAAGAUUAAAAUGGACUAUUGAACCAGAAUGUUGUAAUGACCCAACUAGCAAAAGAAGUUUCAAUCUACUAAAAAGAUGACAAUUUUCUUGAUGAAAUACGCUGAUUGUUAUUCAUUCGGUCUAAAAAGAUAACAAUUUUCAUGGGGAAAUACCCCAUCUAUAUUCAUCAAUUACAAAUUGUUCCCAAAAUUUUAUUAAAAAACAACAAACUCUCAUUUAAGAUAGCAAAAAAAUGAGUACACAACUCAUAGUAGGAACUAGGAAGGACUGUUGUAAUUUGCAAGAGCACUCUUGCAAACAUAGAAACUAUUCUCCAUUUCAUAAAAAGUUUAAACUAGAAAUGUUCUUAAGAACAAAGAAAAUUAAGGACUUGGUUAGUUGCAUAGCUUCAGCUUUGUAAAGGUAAUUGCCUUCGAAAGUUUGCUGGAGCUUCAUUUAACAGAACUAUUUCAGUUUUCCAGUGUACUUCGAUUUUAAAAUGGUGGAGCUUGUGGAACUCUUCGCCAAUCAAACAUGUUUUGAAUGACAGAUGGACUCCUGGUGUGUUAUCAUUACAUGUUGAUUUACAUGAUGUAUUUGUCAUUCUUCCUUCCUUGGUAAUUGGUACUUGGUCGCGUGUUGCUGAUAAAUUCAUGGAAAUUUGUUUUCAUCUGUUCAUCAUAAAAUAUUGCCUUAAUGAUCUCAUGUUUCUUGGGCUCUAAGAAGAGCCUACUUAUGGUUUUUGGUGUAGGACAGUAGGAGGUAAUUUUGCUUCAGUAAGUGGCUUUGUGGUUGAUGCUUGAUCUUUUAUUAUCAACAACUUGUUUUGUUUUUAUUACUUUGACUGUAAAUUUUGUUAGAAAAUUUUGUUUCGUUCUCAUUAAAAGGAUUUGAUUAGCAUACGGAGGUCUAGAAGGUUUACGUUUUAUGUUUAACAUUAUCAUGAAAAGUUGGGGGAUUGUGAAUUAUGAUUGAUUCGAGAUCAGUGAAAAAAUAGUUUAAGGCGCGUGACUGAGAGCUUUGAUGUAUGGGGACUGGGAGGGUAUUCUGAUCGUUAAUAUUAAGAUACCCCUUUUUGGCUAUAGAAGAAAAUUAUUUGGUUCUACUGAAUGUAGCGGAGCUGCCAUGCAAGUGUAAUAUAUUCAAGGGAAGUGUUGCUUAACUUGGAAGGAGAUUGGGCUACGGGAGACCAGAAUUGUUGAGGGUACAUGUGAGAUUGGGCUUGUCAGCACUUAGCAAUCAAUUAAGUGCUUUAAUUUACUGCAUCAUCAAAAUUGUACCAGUUUUGAGAACACACACACACAUCUCCGGGUGUGUUGUCUUUGUUUUUGGUAGUAGUGGUGGUUAAAAAUGGCAAGAAAAACUUCUAUUUGCCUGAGCCAGAAUCUUUGAACUGAAAACUUUGUUCUUCGGGGUGCAUGUGUUUCUUUGCUGUUUAUUUUCCGCAAGUGAGCUAGCCUAUGUUUUGGGUUUUGACAGAUAGCAUUAUUGCUUUGUUUACUCUGAUGAUGUCUAGCUGUCUGAGUUGAAUUUCUGCUCAUUUUGCUUUCUCAUUCUGAAAAUGCAUAGUUAGUAAGGGAUGUUCACGAGUCAUGACCUGUUCGGUGCUAGGGUAUGAUAUUUUUUGCUCAAAUGACUGAAAUGAAAUGGAAUCAUCUUCAAUUUAACAUCUCUGUUUAACAGGCUCAAUAGCAAUUGUAGCAUACUUGUGUUUUGUUUGAAUUGGCUUUUGGGGAAUCGAUAAGUUUUGCAUAUUGUUAUGGAAUCCUGGUCAAAUUCCAUUACCCUAAUUCCUCUGAUUGGCUCCAACCUAGUGUUUUGAAUGUUGGAUGUAACCUUACACUUAGUAAAAAAGAGGUUAUUUAGGGAGCCUUUUUAAAUUUUAUGCGUCUAAUAUUUUAUAUUCGUUUUGCUUGCCAAGUGUUCUUGUAUUUGAUUUAUGGAACAAUUAAUUGUAAAUUUAAGCCCUUGAUUAAUGUUUGAUCAAUGAACUCAAGUACUGGUAGAGGUCUUGUUGUUAAUGCUUUGUCAAAGUUGUGCUGAAUGAUCUCUAAAGAAGAUGAUUCCUACAAAAAGCAACAAGUGAUGUGUCAAUUCUUCAUUUAUUCUAGGGAUAUUACUACCGAAGGAGAUUACUACUGUAGAUCAUAUGGUCUUUGAUUUUGUGAUGGGGGGAGAUAUCCUAGGGAUAUUCUGUGAUAUAUGGAUUUAAAGGGUAUGUUAUUUGUUUUACUACUAGUUAGUUAUAGAGCUUAUUAGUAUAAAUAAGGUAGAGGUAACUGGGAAAUGUAUGAGGAAAUUGUACUGGACUUAUAUGGUCUCUUGAAUCCUUGUUUUCAAUCUUACUAUUUGUAAUUUUGAAUUCAACAAUAUACACCCUUUUACAUGCUCA
This is a long non-coding RNA of Amaranthus tricolor (Joseph's coat), 2856 nucleotides long. RefSeq lists it as uncharacterized. Lineage: Eukaryota; Viridiplantae; Streptophyta; Magnoliopsida; Caryophyllales; Amaranthaceae. The transcript has 2 exons. The record is from RefSeq and is a predicted model, not a curated record.